UUUGCCCAGGCAUUAUUUAAGGACAGCUCAAACCAAGCUUGGGCCUUUUCCCAGACCAUGAAGUAAUGCAGCUCAUUGUGCACUUGAGCUGGCAUGGAGUUCCUCUGCUGAGUAGCUCAAAUCCACCUGAGUCAUCCGAACGCGAGCGUCACUGGAAGAGAAGACUAAAAAACAUAUCACCUUUUUACACACAGGUCAAUCAGGGUCACACAUGACUGCCCACCCGUCACUGUUAUGUAUAACAGACUAAGCUAAGCUAAUCCUGCAGAGUCUGACCGGUGAACGGAGGCUUGCAGGCAGCUG
Long non-coding RNA from Colossoma macropomum (tambaqui), 303 nucleotides. RefSeq lists it as uncharacterized. The record is from RefSeq and is a predicted model, not a curated record. Lineage: Eukaryota; Metazoa; Chordata; Actinopteri; Characiformes; Serrasalmidae. The transcript is spliced from 3 exons.